CAGCACAAGCAAUCUCAUGGAGAUUAGAUUAAAUUUGUUAGAUCACGAAGCAUUGGUUAUAAAGAACUGGUGUUUUGUGUCAGUUUAUGGGCACUAAAGUCUCCCCAUAAAUAGGUGGUCGAUUGAUUGCAACAUCAACUAUUUAUAUUAUCAAAGCCUUAUUAGUUCCUGCCUCCCGCAAGGAACUAUUGGCAAGGCUUCACAUUAAUUAGUUAAUAAUCAUAUCUUUUGACAGCCAAUAGCAUGGCUUGUUUUGUUCUAUGUCAAGACUAUCCUAAGUCUAAAUCCCAAUUUCCUAAGUCUAAAUCCCAAUUUGGCAGAGAUAUGUGCUUGGGUUUUAACCAUUGUUUGCAAGGUGGGAGUGUUGGCAGGCUAUAGACGGCGGAUGGAUAGGCAAUGCAAAGCCCAAGGCAAGAGAACGCCCGGAUACAGAGGAAGGGGCAAAAACUAGAUCUCGGUUAGCGUCUGUUGCACACAGUUGGCAUUUACGGCUGCACCUGUGCGACGUGGAUGUGCAGAGACAAAUGGCUCUUAGGGUUUUCGUUUUGGGCAUGCAGGGCAGAGGACCCGUUACUACACAGGUGGGAGAUGACAAUGAAACAAUAUUAAUAAACGCAUGAUGCCUCAUUUUUAAUGUUUAGCUGUCCUGGAGCACGACGUGGCCUUUUUAACUUCAGCUUUUCUUCAGCGAAAUCUGCUCUGUUCUGCAUAUCUCAUUUAAAAGAUUUCUGGAUUGCAAAGCACAUUGAGCAUUGGUAGCAUCUAAUUACACAACACAUAAAGGGAUCGAGGGGCAUGGCCUUUGUUGAGACCUUGGAGUUCAAAUAGUGGGCUAAUUGGCAUGAAUUUUAUGAUUAGGAUAAUAUUGUUGAACUUUUAUUGUUACUCGUUUGGCCAUUGCUCGAUAAUGUGCAACAUGGACCAUAAAUUGCAGUCAACAAAAUCAUUAAAUAAUAUUAUAGAUACAGAGAACUAUAAACCUUGUAGUGUGGACUUGUCAAAACAAACAAUUGACAUGGUAUUGGAAAAAAAUAAGAUGUUUAGGGUGAAAUCAUUUGUAUACAAUGUAGGCGAUUGUCUUUUUGACUCUUUCCAGUUCUUGUUACACAUGCGAUACACUUCUACAGAGCUACGCAUUGGAACUAUUGACCAUUUUAU
Long non-coding RNA from Cryptomeria japonica (Japanese cedar), 1158 nucleotides. RefSeq lists it as uncharacterized. The record is from RefSeq and is a predicted model, not a curated record. Lineage: Eukaryota; Viridiplantae; Streptophyta; Pinopsida; Cupressales; Cupressaceae. The transcript has 3 exons.